UAAGGAAUAUUGGUCAAUGGGCGGAAGCCUGAACCAGCCAUGCCGCGUGCAGGAUGACUGCCCUAUGGGUUGUAAACUGCUUUUGUCCAGGAAUAAACCUAGAUACGUGUAUCUAGCUGAAUGUACUGGAAGAAUAAGGAUCGGCUAACUCCGUGCCAGCAGCCGCGGUAAUACGGAGGAUCCGAGCGUUAUCCGGAUUUAUUGGGUUUAAAGGGUGCGUAGGCGGCCUAUUAAGUCAGGGGUGAAAUACGGUGGCUCAACCAUCGCAGUGCCUUUGAUACUGAUGGGCUUGAAUCCAUUUGAAGUGGGCGGAAUAAGACAAGUAGCGGUGAAAUGCAUAGAUAUGUCUUAGAACUCCGAUUGCAAAGGCAGCUCACUAAGCUGGUAUUGACGCUGAUGCACGAAAGCGUGGGGAUCGAACAGGAUUAGAUACCCUGGUAGUCCACGCCCUAAACGAUGAUAACUCGAUGUUGGCGAUAGACAGCCAGCGUCCAAGCGAAAGCGUUAAGUUAUCCACCUGGGGAGUACGCCCGCAAGGGUGAAACUCAAAGGAAUUGACGGGGUCAUAGCUGUUU
RNAcentral lists this ribosomal RNA (575 nucleotides) under uncultured bacterium. RNAcentral describes it as "partial 16S ribosomal RNA". It matches the Rfam family "Bacterial small subunit ribosomal RNA", at positions 355 to 935 of the family's 1533-position model. The record is from RNAcentral.